RNAcentral lists this ribosomal RNA (497 nucleotides) under uncultured bacterium. RNAcentral's name for it is "partial 16S ribosomal RNA". It matches the Rfam family "Bacterial small subunit ribosomal RNA", at positions 28 to 507 of the family's 1533-position model. The record is from RNAcentral.
GAUGAACGCUGGCGGCGUGCCUAAUACAUGCAAGUCGAGCGAACGGACGAGAAGCUUGCUUCUCUGAUGUUAGCGGCGGCCGGGGGAGUAACACGUGGAUAACCUACCUAUAAGACUGGGAUAACUUCGGGAAACCGGAGCUAAUACCGGAUGAUAUUUUGAACCGCAUGGUUCAAAAGUGAAAGACGGUCUUGCUGUCACUUAUAGAUGGAUCCGCGCUGCAUUAGCUAGUUGGUAAGGUAAUGGCUUACCAAGGCAACGAUGCAUAGCCGACCUGAGAGGGUGGUCGGCCACACUAGAACUGAGACACGGUCCAGACUCCUACGGGAGGCAGCAGUAGGGAAUCUUCCGCAAUGGGCGAAAGCCUGACGGAGCAACGCCGCGUGAGUGAUGAUGGUCUUCGGAUCGUAAAGCUCUGUUAUUAGGGAAGAACAUAUGUGUAAGUAACUGUGCACAUCUUGACGGUACCUAAUCAGAAAGCCACGGCUAACUACGUG